AAAGAGUUAGUUAAAUUAACAUUAGUAUGUCAUGCUGAAAUUGUUGGUACAGCCCAGCACUCUUUG
Molecule: transfer RNA, 66 nt
Filed under: unidentified
Description: Epeorus sp. 05 ZXM-2022a tRNA-Asp
Source: RNAcentral